AUUGAACGCUGGCGGCAUGCCUUACACAUGCAAGUCGAACGGCAGCACGGGUGCUUGCACCUGGUGGCGAGUGGCGAACGGGUGAGUAAUACAUCGGAACAUGUCCCGUAGUGGGGGAUAGCCCGGCGAAAGCCGGAUUAAUACCGCAUACGAUCUACGGAUGAAAGCGGGGGCCCUUCGGGCCUCGCGCUAUCGGGUUGGCCGAUGGCGGAUUAGCUAGUUGGUGGGGUAAAGGCCUACCAAGGCGACGAUCAGUAGCUGGUCUGAGAGGACGACCAGCCACACUGGGACUGAGACACGGCCCAGACUCCUACGGGAGGCAGCAGUGGGGAAUUUUGGACAAUGGGCGAAAGCCUGAUCCAGCAAUGCCGCGUGUGUGAAGAAGGCCUUCGGGUUGUAAAGCACUUUUGUCCGGAAAGAAAUCCUUGGCCCUAAUACGGUCGGGGGAUGACGGUACCGGAAGAAUAAGCACCGGCUAACUACGUG
RNAcentral lists this ribosomal RNA (486 nucleotides) under uncultured bacterium. Its description in RNAcentral is "partial 16S ribosomal RNA". It matches the Rfam family "Bacterial small subunit ribosomal RNA", at positions 30 to 507 of the family's 1533-position model. The record is from RNAcentral.